AGAGUUUGAUUAUGGCUCAGGAUGAACGCUGGCGGCGUGCCUAAUACAUGCAAGUCGAACGGAUACCUUCGGGUAGUUAGUGGCGAACGGGUGAGUAACACGUAGGUAAUCUACCUUAAAGACGGGGAGUAACAGAUGGAAACGACUGUUAAUACCGGAUAGUAUAUGAAGUCGCAUGAUUUUAUAUUUAAAGUUCCCACGGGAACACUUUAAGAUGAGCCUGCGGCGCAUUAGUUAGUUGGCGGGGUAAAGGCCCACCAAGACAAUGAUGCGUAGCCGGACUGAGAGGUUGAACGGCCACAUUGGGACUGAGAACGGCCCAGACUCCUACGGGAGGCAGCAGUAGGGAAUUUUCGGCAAUGGGGGAAACCCUGACCGAGCAACGCCGCGUGAUUGAAGAAGUAUUUCGGUAUGUAAAAAUCUUUUUUAGAGGACGAACGACCAUAUCAGGGAAUGGGUAUGGAGUGACGGUACUUUAAGAAUAAGCCCCGGCUAACUACGUGCCAGCCGCCGC
Molecule: ribosomal RNA, 514 nt
Filed under: uncultured bacterium
Lineage: Bacteria
Description: bacterial SSU rRNA
Rfam family: Bacterial small subunit ribosomal RNA
Source: RNAcentral